UGCAGUCGAGCGAGAAAAGGGUAGCAAUACCCUGAGUACAGCGGCGCACGGGUGAGUAACACGUGGGUAAUCUGCCCUGGAGUGGGGAAUAACACCGGGAAACCGGUGCUAAUACCGCAUACGAUCACGAUGUCUGCGGAUGUUGUGAUGAAAGGAGCAAUUCGCUCCAGGAGGAGCCCGCGGCUGAUUAGCUAGUUGGUGAGGUAAUGGCUCACCAAGGCUACGAUCAGUAUCCGGUCUGAGAGGACGGUCGGACACACUGGAACUGAGACACGGUCCAGACUCCUACGGGAGGCAGCAGUGGGGAAUUUUUGGCAAUGGGGGAAACCCUGACCAAGCAACGCCGCGUGGGUGAUGAAGUCUCUUGGGACGUAAAACCCUUUCGACGGGGAAGAAACCGCAAGGUUGACGGUACCCGUAGAAGAAGCCCCGGCUAACUCCGUGCCAGCAGCCGCGGUAAUACGGGGGGGGCAAGCGUUGUUCGGAAUUACUGGGCGUAAAGGGUGCGUAGCGGUGCGCUAAGUCGGAUGUGAAAACUCUGGGCUCAACCCAGAGCCUGCAUCCGAAACUGGCGUGCUAGAGUUCUGGAGGGGGUAGCGGAAUUCCUGGUGUAGCGGUGAAAUGCGUAGAUAUCAGAGGAACACCGGUGGCGAAGGCGGCUACCUGACAGAAACUGACGCUGAGGCACGAAAGCUAGGGGAGCAAACAGGAUUAGAUACCCUUAGUCUAGCCCUAAACGAUGGAUACUUGCUGUGACUGGGGAAUCCAGUCGGCGAACUAACGCAUUAAGUAUCCCGCCUGGGGAGUACGGUCGCAGUGAAACUCAAGGAAUUGACGGGGGCCCGCACA
This 849-nucleotide ribosomal RNA is filed under the name uncultured Bacillota bacterium. RNAcentral's name for it is "bacterial SSU rRNA". It matches the Rfam family "Bacterial small subunit ribosomal RNA", at positions 56 to 927 of the family's 1533-position model. Lineage: Bacteria; Bacillati; Bacillota. The record is from RNAcentral.